GCAACUCGGCUGCAUGAAGCUGGAAUCGCUAGUAAUCGCGGAUCAGAAUGCCGCGGUGAAUACGUUCCCGGGCCUUGAACACACCGCCCGUCACACCAUGAGAGUCAGCAACACCCGAAGCCUGUGAGCUAACGCAAGAGGCAGCAGUCGAAGGUGGGGUUGGUGAUUGGGGUGAAGUCGUAACAAGGUAAC
This 192-nucleotide ribosomal RNA is filed under the name uncultured bacterium. Its description in RNAcentral is "partial 16S ribosomal RNA". It matches the Rfam family "Bacterial small subunit ribosomal RNA", at positions 1307 to 1500 of the family's 1533-position model. The record is from RNAcentral.